UCGUGGCGAAGUGGUUAACGCACCGGAUUGUGGCUCCGGCAUCACGGGUUCGAUUCCCGUCGGU
This 64-nucleotide transfer RNA is filed under the name Numidum massiliense. It matches the Rfam family "tRNA", at positions 6 to 65 of the family's 71-position model. From Rfam's summary of the family: Transfer RNA (tRNA) molecules are approximately 80 nucleotides in length. Their secondary structure includes four short double-helical elements and three loops (D, anti-codon, and T loops). Lineage: Bacteria; Bacillati; Bacillota; Bacilli; Caryophanales; Bacillaceae. The record is from RNAcentral.